RNAcentral lists this long non-coding RNA (431 nucleotides) under Gallus gallus (chicken). RNAcentral describes it as "long non-coding RNA NONGGAT002880". Lineage: Eukaryota; Metazoa; Chordata; Aves; Galliformes; Phasianidae. The record is from RNAcentral.
UAUUCAGGGAGAGGAACAUGCCCUGCAAUUGCCCAAAACAUAGGUGGAGGGGUAGAACUGUUCCAGAUGUGUGUAGCCCUGUCGCUUACCUGUGCUGUCGUAGAUGGUAAAGAAGAGCCCUCCUCCAAUGCCCAUGCUGUGAGCGUUCAUGAGUCCAACGCAGAGCAGAGCUGCAAUAGCAGCGUCCACAGCAGAUCCGCCUUGCUGAAGGAUGUCCCUGUGCAGCAAAAGAGAAGGCAUCUUACAGCAACACGCCACAGUGUCUCAGCUAUCUGUGAGCUCUGGGCCUCUAUCACCAUAGAGAAGAGAACCUAAUGGUCUGGGUACGGCCCAGAUUGACCUUCAUUAAAGAGACAUUCGAACUAGCCUGAAAGCAGCAAGAUGUGACAAAGUACCUGGAGGAGACUGGCAUUCCAGCCACAUCCACCAUA